This 517-nucleotide unclassified non-coding RNA is filed under the name uncultured Glomeromycotina. Its description in RNAcentral is "SSU rRNA". It matches the Rfam family "Eukaryotic small subunit ribosomal RNA", at positions 574 to 1092 of the family's 1831-position model. The record is from RNAcentral. Lineage: Eukaryota; Fungi; Glomeromycota.
CCGCGGUAAUUCCAGCUCCAAUAGCGUAUAUUAAAGUUGUUGCAGUUAAAAAGCUCGUAGUUGAAUUUCGGGGUUAGUAGGUUGGUCAUGCCUCUGGUAUGUACUGAUCUCACUGAUUCCUCCUUCCUUAUGAACCGUAAUGCCAUUAAUUUGGUGUUGCGGGGAAUUUGGACUGUUACUUUGAAAAAAUUAGAGUGUUUAAAGCAGGCUAACGCUUGAAUACAUUAGCAUGGAAUAAUGAAAUAGGACGUUCGAUCUUAUUUUGUUGGUUUCUAGGAUUGACGUAAUGAUUAAUAGGGAUAGUUGGGGGCAUUAGUAUUCAAUUGUCAGAGGUGAAAUUCUUGGAUUUAUUGAAGACUAACUACUGCGAAAGCAUUUGCCAAGGAUGUUUUCAUUAAUCAAGAACGAAAGUUAGGGGAUCGAAGACGAUCAGAUACCGUCGUAGUCUUAACCAUAAACUAUGCCGACUAGGGAUCGGAUGAUGUUAAUUUUUUAAUGACUCAUUCGGCGCCUUACG